Molecule: ribosomal RNA, 253 nt
Filed under: uncultured bacterium
Lineage: Bacteria
Description: partial 16S ribosomal RNA
Rfam family: Bacterial small subunit ribosomal RNA
Source: RNAcentral
UACAGAGGGUGCAAACGUUGUUCGGAAUUACUGGGCGUAAAGCGCGUGUAGGCGGCUAAGUAAGUCGGGCGUGAAAUCCCACGGCUCAACCGUGGAAGUGCACUCGAAACUGCAUAGCUAGAGUCCUGGAGAGGAAGGUGGAAUGCUUGGUGUAGAGGUGAAAUUCGUAGAUAUCAAGCGGAACACCGGUGGCGAAGGCGGCCUUCUGGACAGUGACUGACGCUGAGACGCGAAAGCGUGGGGAGCAAACAGG